RNAcentral lists this ribosomal RNA (253 nucleotides) under uncultured bacterium. RNAcentral describes it as "partial 16S ribosomal RNA". It matches the Rfam family "Bacterial small subunit ribosomal RNA", at positions 524 to 776 of the family's 1533-position model. The record is from RNAcentral.
UACAGAGGUCUCAAGCGUUGUUCGGAAUCACUGGGCGUAAAGGGUGCGUAGGCCGCACGGUAAGUCAGAGGUGAAAUCCCGGGGCUCAACUUCGGAAUUGCCUCCGAUACUGCCGUGCUUGAGGACUGGAGAGGAGAUUGGAAUUCACAGUGGAGCAGUGAAAUGCGUAGAUAUUGUGAGGAACACUAGUGGCGAAGGCGAAUCUCUGGACAGUUCCUGACGCUGAGGCACGAAGGCCAGGGGAGCAAACGGG